This 301-nucleotide long non-coding RNA is filed under the name Panax ginseng (ginseng). Its description in RNAcentral is "long non-coding RNA (PGIN_LNC002629)". Lineage: Eukaryota; Viridiplantae; Streptophyta; Magnoliopsida; Apiales; Araliaceae. The record is from RNAcentral.
GCGCUUCAUAUAAAAUCUCUUCUCUUAAUUCUGGUACUAAUGGUACCCAAAUUCGUCUUUCAAAUCUUAGCAAUCCGGUGCCAUCAAUCUUGUAUUUCAAUUCAUCCCCUUCAGCUAAUCGCUUCUUGAUGCUGUCGCAAUCUUCAUCCUUCUCUUGAGCCUCUUUAACCUUAUCUAAUAAAGUAGGGCUCGCUGCCACAGUAAAUAAUUUCUCAUUGAUCUCCAUCUGAUACUUAACCUCUAAGUCAAGUCGUUCGAAAUCCUUCACCAAUUCCUCUUGAAUGGUUAACUUCAAUAACUU